Molecule: long non-coding RNA, 1053 nt
Filed under: Anas platyrhynchos platyrhynchos (common mallard)
Lineage: Eukaryota; Metazoa; Chordata; Aves; Anseriformes; Anatidae
Description: lncRNA (ENSAPLG00000016495.1)
Source: RNAcentral
GGGCGGGCGGCGAUUGGCGGCGGCGCUGACAGCGGGCGGGGCCGUGCCGGCGGCGCCGCCCGCCCCCCUCUAUAAGCCUCCCGGCCGCGGUCUCGCUGGGUCUCUCUCUCCCGUUCCGCGCGUCGCUGUCGAUGCGCAGUGGAAAUCCGCACCGGGGAGCUGCCGAGGGGCGCCCGUGUCAUGUGAAAGUGCACAUGCUCUGCCAUCCCCGCAGCCCUCCGCGCUCUUCUUUUUCCUCUGUCCGUGCAUUUUCCCUUUUUAUUGUUGUUUUUUUCCUAGCGUAACUCCGUUCCCUCAUUUCCUUCCCUCCCAUAAACACACACACACUUCGCAAAUAGCGAGCCGCCGCCGCUCCGCGGCCCCGGCGACCCCUGCAGGGGUUCCGCUACUGGCGGGCGGGUGCGCGGCGGCCGUCCCCGAGCAGCUCUCCCGGCGGCGGGCAGUCCGCGGAGCCGCUCCGCGCCGAGCCGCGCCCCGCCGAGCCGCCUCGGAGGGAUGGUGUUCCCGGCAGAGCAGAGCUGCGGCCCCCGCCGCCUCCGCGGGUGCUGAGACGGGAUUUUCGUGGUGCGGCUCCCGGGCUCCCAGCUUCAUGACUGCGCGGAGCGGGGAGUCGCCAACACCAUGCGAGGCAAAUGCCCUGUGCAGCCAUGUUCUACCACUUACCUUGGAGGGCAGCCAGAGCCUUUGCUUCUGCAUCCCCAGAGCUUGCAACCUCACCUGUGGGAGGUCCUGCAGGAGACUGCGGAGCAUCCCCACUGGCAGGAGACCGCCAAGCUGCUGGGCAGCUGGUCCAGAGAGUGCCGCUGGGCCACAUGCUGCCUGCUGUGUCUGACGCGCUGGGACAUCUAUCUGCUGGGCACGGAGGACACGGGGGCACAUUGUUUCUGCAUGUCUCAGGGCCGGGCAGCACUCCGCAGGCACUCCACUGGCCCAUUCUCCUGGGUCAGGCAAGAACUAUCCUUGCCAGCCUCAGACACCCGCAGGGGUUGCACACCUCCUUUGCCACAUCCUCCAUGCUCCGUUAGUGCCCCAUACUUCCUCUCAUUUGCUUGA